AUUGAACGCUGGCGGCAGGCCUAACACAUGCAAGUCGAGCGGAUGAAGGGAGCUUGCUCCUGGAUUCAGCGGCGGACGGGUGAGUAAUGCCUAGGAAUCUGCCUGGUAGUGGGGGAUAACGUCCGGAAACGGGCGCUAAUACCGCAUACGUCCUGAGGGAGAAAGUGGGGGAUCUUCGGACCUCACGCUAUCAGAUGAGCCUAGGUGGGAUUAGCUAGUUGGUGGGGUAAAGGCCUACCAAGGCGACGAUCCGUAACUGGUCUGAGAGGAUGAUCAGUCACACUGGAACUGAGACACGGUCCAGACUCCUACGGGAGGCAGCAGUGGGGAAUAUUGGACAAUGGGCGAAAGCCUGAUCCAGCCAUGGCGCGUGUGUGAAGAAGGUCUUCGGAUUGUAAAGCACUUUAAGUUGGGAGGAAGGGCAGUAAGUUAAUACCUUGCUGUUUUGACGUUACCAACAGAAUAAGCACCGGCUAACUACGUG
RNAcentral lists this ribosomal RNA (484 nucleotides) under uncultured bacterium. Its description in RNAcentral is "partial 16S ribosomal RNA". It matches the Rfam family "Bacterial small subunit ribosomal RNA", at positions 30 to 507 of the family's 1533-position model. The record is from RNAcentral.